GGGUUGUGAGGUUAAGCGACUAAGCGUACACGGUGGAUGCCCUGGCAGUCAGAGGCGAUGAAGGACGUGCUAAUCUGCGAAAAGCGUCGGUAAGGUGAUAUGAACCGUUAUAGCCGGCGAUGUCCGAAUGGGGAAACCCAGUGCAAUUCGUUGCACUAUCGUUAACUGAAUACAUAGGUUAACGAGGCGAACCGGGGGAACUGAAACAUCUAAGUACCCCGAGGAAAAGAAAUCAACCGAGAUUCCCCCAGUAGCGGCGAGCGAACGGGGAGCAGCCCAGAGUCUGAAUCAGCUUGUGUGUUAGUGGAACGGUCUGGAAAGUCCGACGGUACAGGGUGAUAGUCCCGUACACCAAAAUGCACAGGCUGUGAACUCGAAGAGUAGGGCGGGACACGUGGUAUCCUGUCUGAAUAUGGGGGGACCAUCCUCCAAGGCUAAAUACUCCUGACUGACCGAUAGUGAACCAGUACCGUGAGGGAAAGGCGAAAAGAACCCCGGCGAGGGGAGUGAAAAAGAACCUGAAACCGUGUACGUACAAGCAGUGGGAGCACCUUCGGGUGUGACUGCGUACCUUUUGUAUAAUGGGUCAGCGACUUAUAUUCUGUAGCAAGGUUAACCGUAUAGGGGAGCCGCAGGGAAACCGAGUCUUAACUGGGCGUUAAGUUGCAGGGUAUAGACCCGAAACCCGGUGAUCUAGCCAUGGGCAGGUUGAAGGUUGGGUAACACUAACUGGAGGACCGAACCGACUAAUGUUGAAAAAUUAGCGGAUGACUUGUGGCUGGGGGUGAAAGGCCAAUCAAACCGGGAGAUAGCUGGUUCUCCCCGAAAGCUAUUUAGGUAGCGCCUCGUGAACUCAUCUUCGGGGGUAGAGCACUGUUUCGGCUAGGGGGUCAUCCCGACUUACCAACCCGAUGCAAACUACGAAUACCGAAGAAUGUUAUCACGGGAGACACACGGCGGGUGCUAACGUCCGUCGUGAAGAGGGAAACAACCCAGACCGCCAGCUAAGGUCCCAAAGUCAUGGUUAAGUGGGAAACGAUGUGGGAAGGCACAGACAGCCAGGAUGUUGGCUUAGAAGCAGCCAUCAUUUAAAGAAAGCGUAAUAGCUCACUGGUCGAGUCGGCCUGCGCGGAAGAUGUAACGGGGCUAAACCAUGCACCGAAGCUGCGGCAGCGACACGAUGUGUUGUUGGGUAGGGGAGCGUUCUGUAAGCCUGCGAAGGUGACCUGUGAGGGUUGCUGGAGGUAUCAGAAGUGCGAAUGCUGACAUAAGUAACGAUAAAGCGGGUGAAAAGCCCGCUCGCCGGAAGACCAAGGGUUCCUGUCCAACGUUAAUCGGGGCAGGGUGAGUCGACCCCUAAGGCGAGGCCGAAAGGCGUAGUCGAUGGGAAACAGGUUAAUAUUCCUGUACUUGGUGUUACUGCGAAGGGGGGACGGAGAAGGCUAUGUUAGCCGGGCGACGGUUGUCCCGGUUUAAGCAUGUAGGCUGGUUAUCCAGGCAAAUCCGGAUAAUCAAGGCUGAGGUGUGAUGACGAGGCACUACGGUGCUGAAGUAACAAAUGCCCUGCUUCCAGGAAAAGCCUCUAAGCAUCAGGUAACAUCAAAUCGUACCCCAAACCGACACAGGUGGUCAGGUAGAGAAUACCAAGGCGCUUGAGAGAACUCGGGUGAAGGAACUAGGCAAAAUGGUGCCGUAACUUCGGGAGAAGGCACGCUGGUGUGUAGGUGAAGUCCCUGCGGAUGGAGCUGAGACCAGUCGAAGAUACCAGCUGGCUGCAACUGUUUAUUAAAAACACAGCACUGUGCAAACACGAAAGUGGACGUAUACGGUGUGACGCCUGCCCGGUGCCGGAAGGUUAAUUGAUGGGGUUAUCCGUAAGGAGAAGCUCUUGAUCGAAGCCCCGGUAAACGGCGGCCGUAACUAUAACGGUCCUAAGGUAGCGAAAUUCCUUGUCGGGUAAGUUCCGACCUGCACGAAUGGCGUAAUGAUGGCCAGGCUGUCUCCACCCGAGACUCAGUGAAAUUGAACUCGCUGUGAAGAUGCAGUGUACCCGCGGCAAGACGGAAAGACCCCGUGAACCUUUACUAUAGCUUGACACUGAACAUUGAGCCUUGAUGUGUAGGAUAGGUGGGAGGCUUUGAAGCGUGGACGCCAGUCUGCGUGGAGCCAACCUUGAAAUACCACCCUUUAAUGUUUGAUGUUCUAACGUUGGCCCCUUACCGGGGUUGCGGACAGUGUCUGGUGGGUAGUUUGACUGGGGCGGUCUCCUCCCAAAGCGUAACGGAGGAGCACGAAGGUUAGCUAAUCCUGGUCGGACAUCAGGAGGUUAGUGCAAUGGCAUAAGCUAGCUUGACUGCGAGCGUGACGGCGCGAGCAGGUGCGAAAGCAGGUCAUAGUGAUCCGGUGGUUCUGAAUGGAAGGGCCAUCGCUCAACGGAUAAAAGGUACUCCGGGGAUAACAGGCUGAUACCGCCCAAGAGUUCAUAUCGACGGCGGUGUUUGGCACCUCGAUGUCGGCUCAUCACAUCCUGGGGCUGAAGUAGGUCCCAAGGGUAUGGCUGUUCGCCAUUUAAAGUGGUACGCGAGCUGGGUUUAGAACGUCGUGAGACAGUUCGGUCCCUAUCUGCCGUGGGCGCUGGAGAAUUGAGGGGGGCUGCUCCUAGUACGAGAGGACCGGAGUGGACGCAUCACUGGUGUUCGGGUUGUCAUGCCAAUGGCACUGCCCGGUAGCUAAAUGCGGAAGAGAUAAGUGCUGAAAGCAUCUAAGCACGAAACUUGCCCCGAGAUGAGUUCUCCCUGAGACUUUAAGUCUCCUGAAGGAACGUUGAAGACGACGACGUUGAUAGGCCGGGUGUGUAAGCGCAGCGAUGCGUUGAGCUAACCGGUACUAAUGAACCGUGAGGCUUAACCUUACAACGCCGAAG
This 2923-nucleotide ribosomal RNA is filed under the name Klebsiella quasipneumoniae subsp. similipneumoniae. RNAcentral's name for it is "23S ribosomal RNA". It matches the Rfam family "Bacterial large subunit ribosomal RNA". The record is from RNAcentral. Lineage: Bacteria; Pseudomonadati; Pseudomonadota; Gammaproteobacteria; Enterobacterales; Enterobacteriaceae.